UACGUAGGGGGCAAGCGUUGUCCGGAUUUAUUGGGCGUAAAGAGCGUGUAGGCGGUUUGGUAGGUCCGCUGUGAAAACUCGAGGCUCAACCUCGAGACGCCGGUGGAAACCAUCAGACUAGAGUCCGGAAGAGGAGAGUGGAAUUCCCAGUGUAGAGGUGAAAUUCGUAGAUAUUGGGAAGAACACCGGUGGCGAAGGCGGCGACCUGGUCCGACACUGACGCUGAGGCGCGAAAGCGUGGGGAGCAAACAGG
Molecule: ribosomal RNA, 253 nt
Filed under: uncultured bacterium
Lineage: Bacteria
Description: partial 16S ribosomal RNA
Rfam family: Bacterial small subunit ribosomal RNA
Source: RNAcentral